GCGACAACAACAGACGUUUCUUUGUGAGUGGGUCGAAACAAAUGGAGAUUUUCUCUGCAGAAAUUUUUUUCCCACCGACAAAAACUUCUUUCUCCGACAAGUCUUUAGUCUCUCCGUCGAAGGCGAUUUGGGAGGUGAUUUCGACGUUUCAGUUUCUCUCACAGGUUCUCUCUGACAGCUGUGGUUUCUCCAGCGGCUUCUGGAUCUCUGCGACGGUCUAUCCACGUAGUUGGUGUUAACCUAAUCUCAGUCUCUAUCCUAGAUCUUCUGUUUCUCUGAGAGUUGUGAGUUAAUGAUCGAUGGGGUAUUUGAUUUGUUGAUUUGGUUCAGUUUUAAUCAAAUUUUCUGGUAGUAUUUGAGUAGGAAAUCGAUUGAAAGUGCUUUAGGGUUUUGAAAAAUUCGGGGUUUAGAGUUGAUUUUUUUGCGAGAAACUUUGUACGUCUGUUUUCUAAUCGAAUCUGCUAAGGUAUUUUGUUGUUCUUGAUGUUUACUUUUUAAACUCAAAUUCCUCUUUUUGUUCGUUUUGUUCUCUGGUUUUAAAUCGAAUAUGUUUAACUUGUUUUGUUGUCUUUGUUCAGCACCAUACCGAUCAGCUACAACAAUAAUUCAUCUUCCGUAGCAAGCUUCAACAGUAGUUGUGCUCGAACUGAUGGGAAUUUUGGGAUUCCUUUUUUUAUUGUGGCCGAACCCCAAUCAUUGAAGAAUUCACAGCUGCAGCGACAUUCGGAAGGAAGUUCUACACAUGUCCUGGAAUAUUGGGAGAGAUGCGAGCUAAGAGACUUGCUGGAGUAGUCUUCUGUCAAAGGUGAAUACAUGUUGAAGUAAGGCAACCCCAAAGUGGGAUAAAGCUCGUGACUGAUUUUAUCGAAUUUAAUAUUUACCCAUGGAUCUUAUCUUAAAAGCUCGCAUUCCGUGAUGGGAUCCUUCAGCUCUGAUCUGAUCGAAUUGGAGACAUAAUUCAGUAAUGGGAUGAGACUAAACCUUUGGUCUAUGACAAAUUUAGGAAUUCUUCUGAUGCUAGACUUGCUUAAAAACAUCUCUCAAAAGCCCAAGCAGUGGCAAAAACUGCUAAAAAAGUGUGAUGAGGAAUGGGAUGUGCAAAUAAAUUACAAGAACAAUACAGAACUGUAGGUGCUGUUUGCCAGGAAGCAUUUGCUCAUCUACAAGAUUUGAAGAAACAACAACGAGAAAAAGUACCAAAUAGCUUUUGGAACCGGACAUGUACUUAGGAAUACUUACAUCUAUGUUUUAGAUUAAUCCUCCACUUUUGAUAUUUCUUUCAUAUUGCAGAACAAAUAUUUCUUCAAGUACAAAGAUGAU
Eutrema salsugineum is the source of this 1320-nucleotide RNA transcript. RefSeq lists it as uncharacterized. The transcript has 3 exons. The record is from RefSeq and is a predicted model, not a curated record. NCBI's taxonomy places the organism in Eukaryota, Viridiplantae, Streptophyta, Magnoliopsida, Brassicales, Brassicaceae.